Molecule: long non-coding RNA, 2273 nt
Filed under: Heterocephalus glaber (naked mole-rat)
Lineage: Eukaryota; Metazoa; Chordata; Mammalia; Rodentia; Bathyergidae
Description: lncRNA (ENSHGLG00100046879.1)
Source: RNAcentral
GGCUCCUGACAGAGCUCAGCACUUACAGGAAGACCAGGAGCAGAGCACGUGUGUGACUAUAAUCCAGUAGAAUAAUCUACUGGACUAUUCCAAGAAUUAAAAGAGAGCAAGGACGUUGAAACUCCUGUGACGUACCCAAGGGGAUGCACUGCCCAACUCCUCUUUUGAGGAAAGACUUGCCAUUCUAUGUGAAUAAAUUGUCAGCAAACAGCACCAGCUGUCAGCUCUUUCCGGUGUGCUUCAGUGACAGAGUUCCUCAUCCAACAUCAUGGCCUCCCCAGGGUGGCCUGUGCUGGGAGCUGGGCUAGGAAGGCCCAGCCAUUCUGGCUCUGUGAGGGGAGCAAUGACGGGCAGUGCUAGCUUCAGAGUUUCCUGUCAUGGACUCUGUCUCAGGAGAAACCUGGAGGGAUUAUGGAAGAGCUGCUCCUUGAGUUCUACUGCAUCUAUGGACAAAAGGAUGGGCUGUGGCACCUGAAAGAAAGCAUCCCUCUCUGACAUAUGCAAGAGUAAAGCUGUCUGAGGGCUUUAGCUGCUGCAUUCCUGAAACCCAUCUUUGGAAUGCUGCCAAGCCUAUGGUUUCCAGUAGGAGUAUCAAGGCAGACCCAUGUCUGGGAGACAAAGGAUGCCUGUGAAAAACAAUUUUGGUUUGGGGACUCCUUAAAGUGUUGUUUGAUUAUAUUUUUUAAGAAUUCCACUGCAGUCUAAUAUUCUUUUACUCAUUUUCUUUUGUUUUGUUGCUCAUUCACUUGUGGUUGGGCCUGUACUAUUGUCUCACAGUGCUCUAGACACUGCUGGUUUUCUCCACAUUUUUUCUCAUAGACACUUUUAAAAUUAAUAUAUUUCUUGCAUUUCUAGCCCCUUUCUGGCAUUUCUUUCUCUGAGGGGCUGGAUUAACCAUUUAUUCUCUAGAUUCCAAAUGUUGUUUUUCUGUUAGCAGUAACUCAUGAAAGUUAGCUAUUAUUUGCUUUUUCCCCUCCUCUUCUCCUUUCCCUCUCACAUUCUCUAAUUUUUUCACUAUUUUAUUGGAUAUGUUCAUAGCAUAAAAGAAUGAUCAGAAAAUAUUUUCUGGAAAAGAUGAGAUAGUAAAUAUUUUACACUUAUGGGCCAACAGUUUCUGUCCCAACUUUUAAUUCUGCCAUGGUAGUGCAUAAGCAACCAUAGCCAAUAUCUAAAUAAAUGGGUCUGGCUGUAUUCUAAUAAAACACUACUUACAUAAAUAAGCAGUAGACCAGAUUUGGCCCUUUGACAACUUUAGGUCUAAAUUAUACUUUCAUUUCUAUUUGACUUUUUUUUUUAUCAUUAAGUCUAACCCUUUUAACUUUCAGCUAUUAUUUGUUGAAGAAAUCAAUUUUUUUCUAAUUUUCAAUGAAUACUUCCAUCUUUUUCUUUUUUUCUUCUUUGUUUAAAUACUAUUUCUAGGGCCAGGGAUAUAGCUCAGCCGUGCAGUGCCUGCCUGGUAAGAACAAGGCCCUGAGUUUGAUUCCCAGUACCAUAAAUAAAUAAAUACUAUUUCUACAUUUUUAGAGUAUAUAUCCUAUUCAUAGUAUUUUCUGGAUUUUUUUCUAUGUAUUUUGAGCUUAUUUCUACAAAUCUGUUAAAUUCUUAUCCCUAGAUCUUAUGCCACAGCUGUUCUAAUCAUUUUAAGUUGCCUAUAGUUUAUUAUACAUUCUUCAGGAAAUAAUAGUACUGUAGCACAAAAUUUUUUUAUAUAAUGUUUUUUUUUUUUUGGUACCAGGGAUUGAACUUGGGUCCUUGAGGUUGCAAAGCAGGCGACAGAACCACUGACCUAAAUCCUGGACCCUAGAAUGAUAUUUUUUUAAAUGACUUUAUAUUUCACUUUUGUAGUUGGAUGGUUUAGUAGAAUGUAAGAUCCUUUGACCAUUUUUUAUUUCCCUGGUUAUCUUUAAAAUGCUGUUCAUUUUUUUUCUAAAAAUGCAAUGUUGCUAUGUUGCUGUCAAAAAUCUGGUAUCUGUCUGAUUUUCUUUUCUUUAUGAUUGACUUAGAUUUUUUCUUUUUGCCAUACUGGGGAUUGAACCCAGGACUGCAUGCAUGCUAGGAAAGCCUUACUGGUGAGCUAGACCCCCAGAUCUUUUAUUUAUUUAUUUUUUAAAAUUCUGAGACAGGGUUUUGUGAAGUUUCUCAAGCUGGUCUUGAACUUGUGAUAGUCCUGCCUCAACAUCUUAGGUAGUUGAGAUUCAAUGUACACCGCUACAUCUGCCUUGAUUUAGUUUUAGGCCAACUUCCCCAACUUUAUUUUUACCCUUAAAUUCUCA